This 2004-nucleotide long non-coding RNA is filed under the name Macaca fascicularis (crab-eating macaque). RNAcentral describes it as "lncRNA (ENSMFAG00000065018.1)". Lineage: Eukaryota; Metazoa; Chordata; Mammalia; Primates; Cercopithecidae. The record is from RNAcentral.
UUAUAAAACCAUCAGAUCUUGUCAGACUUAUUCACUACCAUGAGAACAGCAUGGGAAAACCAGCCCCCAUGAUUCAAUUUCCUCCCAUUGGGUGCCUCCCACUACACAUGGGAUUAUGGAAGCUACAAUUCAAGAUGAGAUUUGGGUUGGGACACAGUCAAACCAUAUCACAGACUUAUAAUCAAAUGAACAAUUGUAAAAUUGUUCAUUUACAUGCUUGAGAGUCUGGACUUUAUUUUUGUGAUGUUUAGUACAGAGUUGGAUACCAAUUAGGAACUCAGUAUAUUUAACGAAUAACUUCAUUUUUUCCUUUUAUACCAAAGUUUUAUAUGUUUACACCCCAGAUUCCUCCUCCCUGUCCCCUCAUCCUCUGCUAUGUCCUUUACCAUUUCCUUUCUUCCUCUUCAUUCCUUUCUUGCUCUUUCUCUCUCUCUUCCCCCUUUCUCUCCUCUCCCUAUAUGUCUUUCUUUCUUUUUUUCUUUCAGUCUCUCUCUGGUUGUCUCUCUUUACCUCUAGAUCACCUGGCAUCACAAUUCUAGCCCAGAUACCUCUCCUGUUGUUGCCAAAAUGUCAAGGGUUUGAUCUAGGUCCUGUUGCUCACCACACAGAAAGCCAGUCGCUGAGACCACAAGCAUUGCCGGGGAAAAAGGCUUUAUUUGGGUGCUGUUAGUCAGGGAGAGAGGAGAUAAGUCUCAAAUCUGUCUCUCCAACUGACUAAAAUUGGGAGUUUAUAUUCUGGGGAGGAAAUGUAACUAUAUGCAGAAAGACAGAAGUUAGGGAGGGGUAAGGAAGCAGUCAUGAUGGAUGAGAGGUCUGGUGUCUCAUUGUCUAGCUGCAGUGAUCUGAUGAGUUUCAGUUCCUUGAUACUAUCUGGGAGGACUGACUGUCUGUUUCCUGAGAAAGGAACUCAGAUGAGACAAAAGUAAGUUUCAGGCUUUAAGACUGGGAGGGUCAACUUCUGUGUUUAUUCAGAACACUGUAAGCAUCUGUCCAAUGGGAAAAUUGGGCCAGUUUCACUCUUGAAUGGAGCCAGCUGGCAAAGCUGGAAGUGAGGGAGUCUUUUUCAGAGACCCUGGAGUGUGCCCAGAAUUUAUUUCCUGGGAAGCGAGGUGCGGUUCGGUGAUGUCUCUGGCGAGUAAGCGUGAGGAUGAGACUCCACCAGUCCCAUUGGGCAGGGAGCUUCCUUCCUGGAAAAAUGUCCUCUUUAUGCUGAAUCCCUUCAGAGACCCUAGCUGUACAGUGAUUCAGGGAAAGGUCCUGCCUCCCUCUUUGUGUCUCCAUGUGACUAAAAUGGGGGAAAUAAUACCACAGAGGCCUCAUGGGACUAUGGAGAAGAGUAAAUGAGCUGAUAUAUAUAAACAUGCCGAGCGUGGUGCCUGCCAUCGCAGAUGUUCAAGAAACACAAGUUUUCUGUCUCCCUUUGCCCAUUGUGUUUGAGAAUACAAAGCCCUUAGUUAACGGAAGCGCUAGUCGGGGAGCGGGAAAUCUGAGCUCUAGUCCUGGUUCUACCAUGGUGUGACUUUGGGUGCAUCAUCUUCCCUUUCUGAACCUCCAUUACAAAAAAUCUAUAAUGUGGUGAUGAAUGAUAAUGUUAUCUACCUCACAGAAUUUCAGAUGGGAUUACAUUAAAUACAGUGGUGUUUGAGUAAGAGAUGAUCAUGGUCUCUGGCAAGUGACAACAACAAUAAAAACUAAAAAAAUGGCUGGAUGUGGUGGUUCAUGCCUGUAAUACCAGCACUUUGGGAGGCCAAGGCGGGUGGAUCACUUGAGGCCAGGAGUUUGAGACUAGCCCAGCCUACACAGUGAAACCCCACCUCUAGUAAUGCAAAAAAAAUUAGCCAAGUGAGGUGGUACAUGCCUGUAGUCCCAGCUACUCAGGAGACUGAGGCAGAAGAGCCACUUGAACCCAGGAGGUGGAGGUUGCAGUGAGCUGAGAUCAUAGCACUGUACUCCAGCCUGGGUGACACAGCAAGACCCUGUCUCAAAAAAUUAAAAAAAAAAAAA